RNAcentral lists this ribosomal RNA (1433 nucleotides) under uncultured organism. RNAcentral's name for it is "16S ribosomal RNA". It matches the Rfam family "Bacterial small subunit ribosomal RNA". The record is from RNAcentral.
CUAGCUACAGGCUUAACACAUGCAAGUCGAGGGGCAUCAGGAAGAAAGCUUGCUUUCUUUGCUGGCGACCGGCGCACGGGUGAGUAACACGUAUCCAACCUGCCCUUUACUCGGGGAUAGCCUUUCGAAAGAAAGAUUAAUACCCGAUAGCAUAAUGAUUCCGCAUGGUUUCAUUAUUAAAGGAUUCCGGUAAAGGAUGGGGAUGCGUUCCAUUAGGUUGUUGGUGAGGUAACGGCCCACCAAGCCUUCGAUGGAUAGGGGUUCUGAGAGGAAGGUCCCCCACAUUGGAACUGAGACACGGUCCAAACUCCUACGGGAGGCAGCAGUGAGGAAUAUUGGUCAAUGGGCGCUAGCCUGAACCAGCCAAGUAGCGUGAAGGAUGAAGGCUCUAUGGGUCGUAAACUUCUUUUAUAUAAGAAUAAAGUGCAGUAUGUAUACUGUUUUGUAUGUAUUAUAUGAAUAAGGAUCGGCUAACUCCGUGCCAGCAGCCGCGGUAAUACGGAGGAUCCGAGCGUUAUCCGGAUUUAUUGGGUUUAAAGGGAGCGUAGGUGGACUGGUAAGUCAGUUGUGAAAGUUUGCGGCUCAACCGUAAAAUUGCAGUUGAUACUGUCAGUCUUGAGUACAGUAGAGGUGGGCGGAAUUCGUGGUGUAGCGGUGAAAUGCUUAGAUAUCACGAAGAACUCCGAUUGCGAAGGCAGCUCACUGGACUGCAACUGACACUGAUGCUCGAAAGUGUGGGUAUCAAACAGGAUUAGAUACCCUGGUAGUCCACACAGUAAACGAUGAAUACUCGCUGUUUGCGAUAUACAGUAAGCGGCCAAGCGAAAGCAUUAAGUAUUCCACCUGGGGAGUACGCCGGCAACGGUGAAACUCAAAGGAAUUGACGGGGGCCCGCACAAGCGGAGGAACAUGUGGUUUAAUUCGAUGAUACGCGAGGAACCUUACCCGGGCUUAAAUUGCAGUGGAAUGAUGUGGAAACAUGUCAGUGAGCAAUCACCGCUGUGAAGGUGCUGCAUGGUUGUCGUCAGCUCGUGCCGUGAGGUGUCGGCUUAAGUGCCAUAACGAGCGCAACCCUUAUCUUUAGUUACUAACAGGUUAUGCUGAGGACUCUAGAGAGACUGCCGUCGUAAGAUGUGAGGAAGGUGGGGAUGACGUCAAAUCAGCACGGCCCUUACGUCCGGGGCUACACACGUGUUACAAUGGGGGGGUACAGAAGGCAGCUAGCGGGUGACCGUAUGCUAAUCCCAAAAACCUCUCUCAGUUCGGAUCGAAGUCUGCAACCCGACUUCGUGAAGCUGGAUUCGCUAGUAAUCGCGCAUCAGCCACGGCGCGGUGAAUACGUUCCCGGGCCUUGUACACACCGCCCGUCAAGCCAUGGGAGCCGGGGGUACCUGAAGUACGUAACCGCAAGGAUCGUCCUAGGGUAAAACUGG